Molecule: ribosomal RNA, 520 nt
Filed under: uncultured bacterium
Lineage: Bacteria
Description: bacterial SSU rRNA
Rfam family: Bacterial small subunit ribosomal RNA
Source: RNAcentral
AAUAGAUACCCGGGUAGUCCACGCCGUAAACGAUGUCGACUUGGAGGUUGUGCCCUUGAGGCGUGGCUUCCGGAGCUAACGCGUUAAGUCGACCGCCUGGGGAGUACGGCCGCAAGGUUAAAACUCAAAUGAAUUGACGGGGGCCCGCACAAGCGGUGGAGCAUGUGGUUUAAUUCGAUGCAACGCGAAGAACCUUACCUACUCUUGACAUCCAGAGAACUUGCCAGAGAUGGCUUGGUGCCUUCGGGAACUCUGAGACAGGUGCUGCAUGGCUGUCGUCAGCUCGUGUUGUGAAAUGUUGGGUUAAGUCCCGCAACGAGCGCAACCCUUAUCCUUUGUUGCCAGCGGUUAGGCCGGGAACUCAAAGGAGACUGCCAGUGAUAAACUGGAGGAAGGUGGGGAUGACGUCAAGUCAUCAUGGCCCUUACGAGUAGGGCUACACACGUGCUACAAUGGCGCAUACAAAGAGAAGCGACCUCGCGAGAGCAAGCGGACCUCAUAAAGUGCGUCGUAGUCCGGA